UUGCAGUCGCGGACAAAGACCUGGCGUCGGCCAAGGCGCUGUACGAGCGCGCGCUGGAGGAGGGGCUGGUCAUGGACGAGCUGUCACUCAAGCGGCUGGCCGUCUUGCACCGCGACGCAGGAGAAACGCCGCCUUUCCCCGAGCCCCCCGAGUCGUUCAAGUUCUACGCCGACAAACUGAAAGAGAGGACAGUCAACACUCAACCCGUCAACGAAUAAAGACCCAACUUCCCCCCGACCGACCCCAUUCAGAUUUUUUUUUCCAUUUUUUUUUUUUUUAUCCAUACAUGAUGUGAGUGGCGUUCCACUAUCCUCUGCUAUCAAUAGGACUGUGGUAACCGUGUACAGAAGUAUUUAUGCUAAUAAAUGUUCGGAAUCCA
Long non-coding RNA from Hippocampus comes (tiger tail seahorse), 379 nucleotides. RefSeq lists it as uncharacterized. The record is from RefSeq and is a predicted model, not a curated record. The transcript is spliced from 2 exons. NCBI's taxonomy places the organism in Eukaryota, Metazoa, Chordata, Actinopteri, Syngnathiformes, Syngnathidae.